Molecule: ribosomal RNA, 1378 nt
Filed under: uncultured bacterium
Lineage: Bacteria
Description: bacterial SSU rRNA
Rfam family: Bacterial small subunit ribosomal RNA
Source: RNAcentral
AGAGUUUGAUCCUGGCUCAGGACGAACGCUGGCGGCGCGCCUAACACAUGCAAGUCGAACGAGCGAGAGAGAGCUUGCUUUCUCGAGCGAGUGGCGAACGGGUGAGUAACGCGUGAGGAACCUGCCUCAAAGAGGGGGACAACAGUUGGAAACGACUGCUAAUACCGCAUAAGCCCACAGGUCGGCAUCGACCAGAGGGAAAAGGAGCAAUCCGCUUUGAGAUGGCCUCGCGUCCGAUUAGCUAGUUGGUGAGGUAACGGCCCACCAAGGCGACGAUCGGUAGCCGGACUGAGAGGUUGAACGGCCACAUUGGGACUGAGACACGGCCCAGACUCCUACGGGAGGCAGCAGUGGGGAAUAUUGCACAAUGGGGGAAACCCUGAUGCAGCGACGCCGCGUGGAGGAAGAAGGUCUUCGGAUUGUAAACUCCUGUUGUUGAGGAAGAUAAUGACGGUACUCAACAAGGAAGUGACGGCUAACUACGUGCCAGCAGCCGCGGUAAAACGUAGGUCACAAGCGUUGUCCGGAAUUACUGGGUGUAAAGGGAGCGCAGGCGGGAAGACAAGUUGGAAGUGAAAUCCAUGGGCUCAACCCAUGAACUGCUUUCAAAACUGUUUUUCUUGAGUAGUGCAGAGGUAGGCGGAAUUCCCGGUGUAGCGGUGGAAUGCGUAGAUAUCGGGAGGAACACCAGUGGCGAAGGCGGCCUACUGGGCACCAACUGACGCUGAGGCUCGAAAGUGUGGGUAGCAAACAGGAUUAGAUACCCUGGUAGUCCACACCGUAAACGAUGAUUACUAGGUGUUGGAGGAUUGACCCCUUCAGUGCCGCAGUUAACACAAUAAGUAAUCCACCUGGGGAGUACGACCGCAAGGUUGAAACUCAAAGGAAUUGACGGGGGCCCGCACAAGCAGUGGAGUAUGUGGUUUAAUUCGAAGCAACGCGAAGAACCUUACCAAGUCUUGACAUCCUUCUGACCGGUACUUAACCGUACUUUCUCUUCGGAGCAGGAGUGACAGGUGGUGCAUGGUUGUCGUCAGCUCGUGUCGUGAGAUGUUGGGUUAAGUCCCGCAACGAGCGCAACCCUUAUCUUUAGUAGCCAGCGGUCCGGCCGGGCACUCUAGAGAGACUGCCAGGGAUAACCUGGAGGAAGGCGGGGAUGACGUCAAAUCAUCAUGCCCCUUAUGACUUGGGCUACACACGUGCUACAAUGGCGUAAACAAAGGGAAGCAAAGCUGUGAAGCCGAGCAAAUCUCAAAAAUAACGUCUCAGUUCGGACUGUAGUCUGCAACCCGACUACACGAAGCUGGAAUCGCUAGUAAUCGCAGAUCAGAAUGCUGCGGUGAAUACGUUCCCGGGUCUUGCACACACCGCCCGUCAA